This 460-nucleotide ribosomal RNA is filed under the name uncultured bacterium. Its description in RNAcentral is "partial 16S ribosomal RNA". It matches the Rfam family "Bacterial small subunit ribosomal RNA", at positions 338 to 795 of the family's 1533-position model. The record is from RNAcentral.
CCUACGGGGGGCAGCAGUGAGGAAUAUUGGUCAAUGGACGAGAGUCUGAACCAGCCAAGUAGCGUGAAGGAUGACUGCCCUAUGGGUUGUAAACUUCUUUUAUAAAGGAAUAAAACGAGGCACGUGUGCCUUUUUGCAUGUACUUUAUGAAUAAGGAUCGGCUAACUCCGUGCCAGCAGCCGCGGUAAUACGGAGGAUCCGAGCGUUAUCCGGAUUUAUUGGGUUUAAAGGGAGCGUAGAUGGGUUGUUAAGUCAGUUGUGAAAGUUUGCGGCUCAACCGUAAAAUUGCAAUUGAUACUGGCAGUCUUGAGUACAGUAGAGGUAGGCGGAAUUCGUGGUGUAGCGGUGAAAUGCUUAGAUAUCACGCAGAACCCCGAUUGCGAAGGCAGCAUACUAAACUGUGACUGACAUUGAUGCUCGAAAGUGUGGGUAUCAAACAGGAUUAGAUACCCCGGUAGUC